GUUGUGGCUCAGAGGUAUAGCAAUCACCUGGCAUGUGUGAGGUACUGGGUUUGAUCCUCAGCACCACGUAAAAAUAAAAUAGAGGUUUUAAAACAAAAUACCUUGGGGGCACUUUGCUUGUACAGGGGUACCUAGGAAGUUGUUUCUCCAGAAUCACCAUGCUCGGCCACCCAGGUACUCAGAGGCCACUGCAGCUGAGGUCCUAGGGGACCUGACUACUGCCUGAGCUGGGGGGCAGACCUUGACAUUGUCUACAUGGUAAUGGUUCUGCAAGAUACUAUAAUUAAAGCGUUAUGAAGGCUUCCACUGAGAUUUCAAAGGAAGGCCUGUGUGGCCAGGCCAAGGGUAGCGGGGUAAGAAUCCCUGCAGUUAGCCCGUGAGAGGGUGAUGUGUGAAGCUGUGGGACAGAAGCCACAGCUGCAGUGGAGAACCCAGGAUUAAGAGAUGCCAGUAAUAUGAAAAGUCUGCCAAGGGAAGCGGCUGGGUACAGAGAGAGCCAGCCUAUGAGAGAGGCCAGGGGACUGCAGUCAGCAAAGCCAUGGGGUGGGGCUGCCCAAGCCCUUUGGAGAUCACAUCACCAUGUGCCCUAGUUGCUACACAUGGAGCUAAAAGACUUGUUUUCCCAAGUGGAUUUUGAUCUUGUUUUGGUGCCAGCCCUUCUUUCUAUGCGUCUAUUUCUCCCCUUUGGAAUGAAAAAAAAAAUGUUUAUGCUAUGCCUUUCUACGUUGAAUAUCUGCAAUUCUGAUUUUUACAGGCACCCAUAGCCAAGAUAUGGCCUUGAAUCUGAGAUGAGAUUUUGGACUUAGAUUUUUGGGCAAUGCUGAAACUGUUGAGACUGUGGGGACUCUUGGAAAUGGACUUAAAUGUGUCUUGCAUUGUGAAAUGGGCAGGAGAUUUUGGACAUCAGGGGCUGCGUGUUACGGUUCAAAUAUGAAGUGUCCCUCAAAAUCUCCUGUGUUAAUUAAUGCAAGAGGUGAAAUUAUUCAAUUAUGAGAACUAUAACUGAAUCAGUGGGUUAAUCAACUUGAUGAAUUUGGAUGAACCAACUGGAUGUUGACUGGAGGAAGUUAGGUCACGGGGGGCAUGCCUUGGGGAUUAUAUCUUUUUUUCCCUGACUGCUUGAGCUCACUCUCUCUGGCUACCAUGAACUGAGCAGCUGUCCUCCUCCGUGCCCUUCCGCUGUGAUGUUCUGCCCCACUUCAGGACCAGAAUGAGGUAGUCAGCUCACCAUGGACUGGGCCUCUGAAACUGUGAGCCCAGAAUAAACGUUUCUUCCAUGAAGUUGUUCCUUUCAGGUAUUUUGGUCACCGUGAUGAAAAUCUAACCAACAUAGCCCCCAUCAUCUCAAACAGCACAGUAACAGCUCACCUCUGCUCUUGCCCCAUGUCGCAGGUCUUCCUGUUGCCACCAGUCACCUUUUUAAAACACUAACUUGAUUCCACAGCUCCCUUGCCUUCCUGGACUUUGUCCAUGGCUUACAGAGUAAAAUUCAGAUUCCCACUAGACCCUGUCUUCAAGAGCCUCUAUUAUCUGCCCCUGCCUGACUCUCCAAUUUCAGUUUCCCUACUCCUGAACCCCCAUGCUCUGGCCAGCCUGAGGUCCUCACACUCCUGCCAGGACCCAUGCCUUCUCCCCAUAUCCUGGAGUCAUAGGGGUGGGGGAAGCUUUUGCAGGCUGCUUCCUGUGCCUGAAAUGCUCUCCUCCUCCUUUGUCUGGCUUUCUUCUCUGUCCCUUAAACUCAGCCCAGAUAUCAGCUCUUAUCAACAAUCCUCACUAGAGCCAUUCAGAGUGCCAGACACACGGUGCACAUUCUGUGAAUCCUGGAUGGAUGGAUGCAUGGGUACCCGGGUACACAAACAGAGCACGGGUGGAUAGAUAGGUGGACAGGUGGGUGAACCGAUGGAGGCUUGAGUUGGAAUGGACCCAAAGGUAUCUCUCCUCGACUUCAUUAUCUGAGUUCCUUAAAGGAACGUCUUCAUUGGGUUAUGAUUUAAUGUUAUACUCUCUUGUCUUCAGAGAACCCUGAUCUGAGAAACUGACCAACUUAACAGCAUUUCUGUCUUUUAUGAAAACAGAAUUGAAUAUAUUGCCCACUGUGUCACUCAGUGUCCUUUAUACAAGGACUCAUGAUAAAUUCAUGCUUGGGGUUAUUUCCAGGAAACAUUUUGUCUCCGCAGAUGAAGAUGUGUAUUUUCUGCUGUCAGAAAAUAAAAAACUCUGCCAUCCGACGUGUUUCCAUUUUUGCUGUAGCUGACAAACAGGAAUACCCGGUUUUAUUACCUGAUUACCUCCAUGCCGUCUGACCAAUGCAGGGGCCGAAAAGCAGCAACUCUUUCUGCCUUCCUUAGGUGGAAUCAAUUCUGGCUUUAUUCUUUGAUGCCCUAUUUUGUACUUUUUAAUCUGAAAGCUGCCUCAAAUCAACUUAGCAGUAGAAAGAAGCCUUAAACAAACAUGUAUAGGUGACAAAAGACCCAGAAUGGAAGCUGGGGAAGGAAGGGCAAAGUACAGAGCAUCUAGUUGAGAGGGAUCCCAUCAAGGCCUCUGCAGGAACCUCAGGAUGCCCACCAUGAAGCGGGUCUGGCAGAAGGACUCAAGCAGGAAGUGAUGGGGCCGCUGAGUUCUAACUCUGUGGCUGCCUUACAGGGCCAACUCUGCCACGCCAUUUUCUUUUCCUCUGACAACUAUGGCCUUCCCUUUCCCCCGACUUUAAGUGGAGAUCUCAUAGGCUAUCAUUUUUGCAUUACCAGGUUGUGAAUACUAAUAGCCGACCACAAUAAUCGGUUUCUUUCCUUGAGGAUACACCAUGAGCCAGGCACAGUGCUGAGAACUUUGCAUUUCCCUAUUUCAACCUUCUCCCUACCCCAACCUGUCUGUCAUUUUUACCACUUUUCAGAUGAAGAAAUGCCAGAGAAAUUAAGCCACCAGCUAACAAGCAAGAGUUCUAAUUCGAGUGGGCCAGCUGUCACCGUCCACACUCGUAACUACCUCCUCACAUAUGGGAAACCAGGGACAACCAUGCUCCUCUUAGGAAAUCGUAGAGAUUGCCAAUGCUGGUGCCCAGAGAGAGGCCACUGAGUCACAGCGCUUUGCUUCCGGAACACUGCAGGUUUCUUUUCAAAUGGUUGGAUCCUUCAGUUACUGUCGUGAAACAGCUGAUUAAAACAGAAGAGGACUUAUCGCUCAUCUCUGCCUUGCACAAUCAUGGCCUGUGAUAGUUGCUCAAAAUCAAACAACCUGGAGAGGCUCACCUGAUGAUUUGAAACCAUCAAACAAUUUCCCCAGCACAGCUAAAAUUCUCCCUCCCUCCGCACAGCACAAAAGCUGUUGUUCAGAAGCUCUAAAGGCAUACAUUUCAAUGUAAUCAACAAGCAAACCAAUGUAUAGCACUUUUAUGUGGCUCUUAUGUGCCAGGUGUUGUUCUAGCAAUUACUAUGUGUUAAGCAAUUGCUUAGUAAUAGAACAUCUACCAUGAUUCUACAAAGCAAGUGUUCUUUAUUAUCGUCCUAUUUUACAGAGGAGGAAAGCAAGUGUUAUGGGUAGGAUUGUUCCUUCUGAAAUUCAUAUGUUAAAGUCCUAACCUCUGAUCUCUCAGAAUAUGGCAGUAUUUGGACCUAAGGCCUUUAAAGAGGAUGUUAAGAUAAAAUGAAGCCAUUAGGGCCAGCCUUAAUCAACUAUGCAAUGCUGAGGAUCAUACCCAGGGCCUCAUGCUUGCUAGCAAGUGCUGCCCCACCAGUGAGCUAUCGCCCUAGUCCUGGUGCUCUUUAAAGACAAGUGUCCUGCACAGAGGUCAUGGGAAGCGACAGGGAGAAAAAGGCCAUCUACCUACCAAGGAAAGGGACCUCAGAAAGAAGCCAGCUCUGCUGACACUUCGAUCUUGAACUUGUAUCUGGAAGAAAUGUGAAGAAAUAAAGUUCUAUUAUUUAAACCCA
Molecule: non-coding RNA, 3929 nt
Organism: Ictidomys tridecemlineatus (thirteen-lined ground squirrel)
Lineage: Eukaryota; Metazoa; Chordata; Mammalia; Rodentia; Sciuridae
Source: RefSeq, a predicted model, not a curated record